RNAcentral lists this ribosomal RNA (414 nucleotides) under Theileria annulata. RNAcentral describes it as "SSU rRNA". It matches the Rfam family "Eukaryotic small subunit ribosomal RNA", at positions 469 to 923 of the family's 1831-position model. Lineage: Eukaryota; Apicomplexa; Aconoidasida; Piroplasmida; Theileriidae. The record is from RNAcentral.
GACAAGAAAUAACAAUACGGGGCUUAAAGUCUUGUAAUUGGAAUGAUGGGAAUUUAAACCUCUUCCAGAGUAUCAAUUGGAGGGCAAGUCUGGUGCCAGCAGCCGCGGUAAUUCCAGCUCCAAUAGCGUAUAUUAAAAUUGUUGCAGUUAAAAAGCUCGUAGUUGAAUUUCUGCUGCAUUGCUUGUGUCCCUCUGGGGUCUGUGCAUGUGGCUUUUUUCGGACGGAGUUUCUUUGUCUGAAUGUUUACUUUGAGAAAAUUAGAGUGCUCAAAGCAGGCUUUCGCCUUGAAUAGUUUAGCAUGGAAUAAUAAAGUAGGACUUUGGUCCUAUUUUGUUGGUUUUAGGUACCAAAGUAAUGGUUAAUAGGAACAGUUGGGGGCAUUCGUAUUUAACUGUCAGAGGUGAAAUUCUUAG